UACAGAGGUCUCGAGCGUUGUUCGGAUUCAUUGGGCGUAAAGGGCGCGUAGGCGGCGGGGUAAGUCUGGUGUGAAAUCUCGGAGCUCAACUCCGAAAUUGCACUGGAUACUGCUCUGCUAGAGGGCUGGAGAGGAGAUCGGAAUUCACGGUGUAGCAGUGAAAUGCGUAGAUAUCUGAAGGAACAUCAGUGGCGAAAGCGACUUCCUGGACCAAUACUGACGCUCAUGUGCGAAAGCGUGGGGAGCAAACAGG
Molecule: ribosomal RNA, 253 nt
Filed under: uncultured bacterium
Lineage: Bacteria
Description: partial 16S ribosomal RNA
Rfam family: Bacterial small subunit ribosomal RNA
Source: RNAcentral